AUUGAACGCUGGCGGCGUGCUUAACACAUGCAAGUCGAUCGGUAACAGGUGUAGCAAUACAUGCUGACGAGAGGCGGACGGGUGAGUAAUGCUUGGGAAUCUGCCUAUUAGUGGGGGACAACCCGGGGAAACUCGGGCUAAUACCGCAUACGCUCUACGGAGGAAAGCCGGGGACCGCAAGGCCUGGCGCUAAUAGAUGAGCCCAAGUCGGAUUAGCUAGUUGGAGGGUAACGGCCUACCAAGGCGACAAUCCGUAGCUGGUCUGAGAGGACGACCAGCCACACCGGAACUGAGACACGGUCCGGACUCCUACGGGAGGCAGCAGUGGGGAAUAUUGGACAAUGGGGGCAACCCUGAUCCAGCGACGCCGCGUGGGUGAAGAAGGCCUGCGGGUUGUAAAGCCCUUUCGGUGGGGAAGAAAAGUCUCGACCUAAUACGUCGGGACCUUGACGUAACCCACUAAAGAAGCACCGGCUAACUCUGUGCCAGCCGCCGCCGUAAC
Molecule: ribosomal RNA, 502 nt
Filed under: uncultured bacterium
Lineage: Bacteria
Description: bacterial SSU rRNA
Rfam family: Bacterial small subunit ribosomal RNA
Source: RNAcentral